Molecule: ribosomal RNA, 494 nt
Filed under: uncultured bacterium
Lineage: Bacteria
Description: bacterial SSU rRNA
Rfam family: Bacterial small subunit ribosomal RNA
Source: RNAcentral
AAAUGAAUUGACGGGGGCCCGCACAAGCAGUGGAGUAUGUGGUUUAAUUCGAAGCAACGCGAAGAACCUUACCAGGGCUUGACAUCCCUCUGACAGGUAUAGAGAUAUACCCUCUCUUCGGAGCGGAGGAGACAGGUGGUGCAUGGUUGUCGUCAGCUCGUGUCGUGAGAUGUUGGGUUAAGUCCCGCAACGAGCGCAACCCUUGUCGUUAGUUGCCAGCACGUGAAGGUGGGAACUCUAGCGAGACUGCCGGUGACAAAUCGGAGGAAGGUGGGGACGACGUCAAAUCAUCAUGCCCCUUAUGUCCUGGGCUACACACGUACUACAAUGGCGGCUACAAAGGGAAGCAAAGCCGCGAGGCAGAGCAAAUCCCCAAAAGUCGUCCCAGUUCGGAUUGCAGGCUGCAACUCGCCUGCAUGAAGUCGGAAUUGCUAGUAAUGGCAGGUCAGCAUACUGCCGUGAAUACGUUCCCGGGCCUUGUACACACCGCCCGU